Molecule: non-coding RNA, 112 nt
Filed under: Olsenella uli
Lineage: Bacteria; Bacillati; Actinomycetota; Coriobacteriia; Coriobacteriales; Atopobiaceae
Also listed under: 1 other name
Description: TPP sequence
Rfam family: TPP riboswitch aptamer (THI element)
About the family: Vitamin B(1) in its active form thiamin pyrophosphate (TPP) is an essential coenzyme that is synthesised by coupling of pyrimidine and thiazole moieties in bacteria. The previously detected thiamin-regulatory element, thi box was extended, resulting in a new, highly conserved RNA secondary structure, the THI element, which is widely distributed in eubacteria and also occurs in some archaea. Analysis of operon structures identified a large number of new candidate thiamin-regulated genes, mostly transporters, in various prokaryotic organisms.
Source: RNAcentral
CCAUGUCAACAGGGAGCUGCGGAUAUGGCGCGGCUGAGAGGGGCGACCUACUCGCCCGACCUCAGAACCUGAUCUGGGUAAUGCCAGCGUAGGGACCAGAGUGUGGCUGCGU